This 315-nucleotide long non-coding RNA is filed under the name Brassica napus (rape). RNAcentral describes it as "long non-coding RNA (BNAP_LNC017124)". The record is from RNAcentral. Lineage: Eukaryota; Viridiplantae; Streptophyta; Magnoliopsida; Brassicales; Brassicaceae.
AAGAAGCUAUCCCACUUUCAAAUCAGGUGAUCCCAGUUUUCAUGUUUGGGAAUAUGACAACUUCUUUGUCAUUCUUAUCAAACCAGGAUGAAUCGCGACGUAAGAAGCUUGAUUUUGAUACAUAAAGUAGUGGAGAAUCACCAGGAAGUUGAAUAAAUAUCAUAGGAGUUAGGAUGAAGAAGCUAUCCCACUUUCAAAUCAGGUGAUCCCAGUUUUCUUGUUUGGGAAUAUGACAACUUCUUGGUCAUUCUAAUCUUCCUGUUUGGGAAUAUGACAACUUCUUGGUCAUUCUAAUCAAACCAGGAUGAAUCGCGA